GUGAGGUAAUGGCUCACCAAGGCAUCGACGGGCAGCUGGUCUGAGAGGAUGAUCAGCCACACUGGGACUGAGACACGGCCCAGACUCCUACGGGAGGCAGCAGUGGGGAAUAUUGCACAAUGGGCGCAAGCCUGAUGCAGCAACGCCGCGUGCGGGAAGAAGGCCCUAGGGUUGUAAACCGCUUUCAGCAGGGAAGAAAAUGACGGUACCUGCAGAAGAAGGUGCGGCCAACUACGUGCCAGCAGCCGCGGUGACACGUAGGCACCAAGCGUUGUCCGGAUUUAUUGGGCGUAAAGAGCUCGUAGGCGGUUCAGUAAGUCGGGUGUGAAAACUCUGGGCUCAACCCGGAGAGGCCACCCGAUACUGCUGUGACUUGAGUACGGUAGGGGAGCGGGGAAUUCCUGGUGUAGCGGUGAAAUGCGCAGAUAUCAGGAGGAACACCAGUGGCGAAGGCGCCGCUCUGGGCCGAAACUGACGCUGAGGAGCGAAAGCGUGGGUAGCAAACAGGAUUAGAUACCCUGGUAGUCCACGCCGUAAACGUUGGGCACUAGGUGUGGGUCUCAACCAACGAGAUCCGCGCCGUCGCUAACGCAUUAAAUG
RNAcentral lists this ribosomal RNA (600 nucleotides) under uncultured actinomycete. Its description in RNAcentral is "bacterial SSU rRNA". It matches the Rfam family "Bacterial small subunit ribosomal RNA", at positions 252 to 866 of the family's 1533-position model. Lineage: Bacteria; Bacillati; Actinomycetota; Actinomycetes; Actinomycetales. The record is from RNAcentral.